CAGCCGGGGUGCUCUUGACCGAGUGUCCCGCGCGGCCGGCCGCUUCACCUUGAACAAAUGAGAGUGCUCAAAGCAGGCUACUCUUGACACUAAAGCCCGAAUGUUAACUGCAUGGAAUGAUGGAAGAUGAUCUCGGUUCCAUUUUGCUGGGCCCCUUUGGGAAUCCGAGUUAAUGAUAAACAGGGACUGUCGGGGGCAUCCGUACUACGACGCGAGAGGUGAAAUUCAGUGACCGUCGUAGGACGAACAACAGCGAAAGCAUUUGCCAAGAAUGUCUUCGUUGAUCAAGAACGAAAGUUAGAGGAUCGAAGGCGAUCAGAUACCGCCCUAGUUCUAACCCUAAACGAUGCUGACCAGCUAUUCGUUAGCGUUAUUCCCAUGACGUGGCGAGACGCCCCCGGGAAACCUCGAGUCUUUGAGUUCCGGGGGUAGUAUGGUUGCAAAACUGAAACUUAAAGGAAUUGACGGAAGGGCACCACCAGGAGUGGAGCCUGCGGCUUAAUUUGACUCAACACGGGAAACCUCACCAGGCCCGGACACCAGAAGGAUUGACAGAUUAAGAGCUCUUUCUCAAUUUGGUGGGUGGUGGUGCAUGGCCGUUCUUAGUUGGUGGAGUGAUUUGUCUGGUUAAUUCCGGUAACGAACGAGACUCUGGCCUACUAACUAGUGGGCGGGUGUUCCGGUAAGGGGCCCCGCCCGACAAAUGUCUUCUUAGAGGGAUGAGCAGCGAGUAUAGCUGCAGGAGAUUGAGCAAUAACAGGUCUGUGUGCCCCCUUAGA
RNAcentral lists this ribosomal RNA (779 nucleotides) under Synalpheus streptodactylus complex sp. B KMH-2014. RNAcentral's name for it is "SSU rRNA". It matches the Rfam family "Eukaryotic small subunit ribosomal RNA", at positions 708 to 1477 of the family's 1831-position model. Lineage: Eukaryota; Metazoa; Arthropoda; Malacostraca; Decapoda; Alpheidae. The record is from RNAcentral.